GAUGAACGCUGGCGGCGUGCCUAAUACAUGCAAGUCGAGCGAACAGAUGAGGAGCUUGCUCCUCUGACGUUAGCGGCGGACGGGUGAGUAACACGUGGAUAACCUACCUAUAAGACUGGGAUAACUUCGGGAAACCGGAGCUAAUACCGGAUAAUAUAUUGAACCGCAUGGUUCAAUAGUGAAAGACGGUUUUGCUGUCACUUAUAGAUGGAUCCGCGCUGCAUUAGCUAGUUGGUAAGGUAACGGCUUACCAAGGCAACGAUGCGUAGCCGACCUGAGAGGGUGAUCGGACACACUGGAACUGAGACACGGUCCAGACUCCUACGGGAGGCAGCAGUAGGGAAUCUUCCGCAAUGGGCGAAAGCCUGACGGAGCAACGCCGCGUGAGUGAUGAAGGUCUUCGGAUCGUAAAACUCUGUUAUUAGGGAAGAACAAAUGUGUAAGUAACUAUGCACAUCUUGACGGUACCUAAUCAGAAAGCCACGGCUAACUACGUG
This 497-nucleotide ribosomal RNA is filed under the name uncultured bacterium. RNAcentral's name for it is "partial 16S ribosomal RNA". It matches the Rfam family "Bacterial small subunit ribosomal RNA", at positions 28 to 507 of the family's 1533-position model. The record is from RNAcentral.